Molecule: ribosomal RNA, 445 nt
Filed under: uncultured bacterium
Lineage: Bacteria
Description: partial 16S ribosomal RNA
Rfam family: Bacterial small subunit ribosomal RNA
Source: RNAcentral
GUGAGGAAUAUUGGUCAAUGGGCGAGAGCCUGAACCAGCCAAGUCGCGUGAAGGAUGAAGGUUUUAUGAAUUGUAAACUUCUUUUGCAGGGGAAUAAAGUACGGUACGUGUACCGUUUUGUAUGUACUCUGCGAAUAAGGAUCGGCUAACUCCGUGCCAGCAGCCGCGGUAAUACGGAGGAUCCGAGCGUUAUCCGGAUUUAUUGGGUUUAAAGGGUGCGUAGGCGGACUGUCAAGUCAGCGGUGAAAGUUCAUGGCUCAACCAUGGAAUUGCCGUUGAAACUGAUGGUCUUGAGUGUAGAUGAGGUAGGCGGAAUUCGUGGUGUAGCGGUGAAAUGCAUAGAUAUCACGAAGAACACCGAUUGCGUAGGCAGCUUACCAAGCUACAACUGACGCUGAGGCACGAAGGUGCGGGGAUCAAACAGGAUUAGAAACCCGGGUAGUCC